GACGAACGCUGGCGGCGCGCCUAACACAUGCAAGUCGAACGAGCGAGAGAGAGUUUACUUUUUCGAGCGAGUGGCGAACGGGUGAGUAACGCGUGAGGAACCUGCCUCAAAGAGGGGGACAACAGUUGGAAACGACUGCUAAUACCGCAUAAGCCCACGACCCGGCAUCGGGUAGAGGGAAAAGGAGCAAUCCGCUUUGAGAUGGCCUCGCGUCCGAUUAGCUAGUUGGUGAGGUAAUGGCCCACCAAGGCGACGAUCGGUAGCCGGACUGAGAGGUUGAACGGCCACAUUGGGACUGAGACACGGCCCAGACUCCUACGGGAGGCAGCAGUGGGGAAUAUUGCACAAUGGGGGAAACCCUGAUGCAGCGACGCCGCGUGGAGGAAGAAGGUCUUCGGAUUGUAAACUCCUGUUGUUGAGGAAGAUAAUGACGGUACUCAACAAGGAAGUGACGGCUAACUACGUG
Molecule: ribosomal RNA, 466 nt
Filed under: uncultured bacterium
Lineage: Bacteria
Description: bacterial SSU rRNA
Rfam family: Bacterial small subunit ribosomal RNA
Source: RNAcentral